CCNUGNAGGUCGACGAUUCCUACGGGAGGCAGCAGUGAGGAAUAUUGCGCAAUGUCCGAAAGGGUGACGCAGCGACGCCGCGUGGAGGAUGAAGGCCCUACGGGUCGUAAACUCCUUUUGAGGGAGAAGAAUAGCCCGCUACAGGCGGGUUUGACGGUAUCCCCCGAAUAAGCACCGGCUAACUACGUGCCAGCAGCCGCGGUAAUACGUAGGGUGCGAGCGUUGUCCGGAUUCACUGGGUGUAAAGGGAGCGCAGGCGGAUUGGCAAGUCAUUGGUGAAAUUCUCAGGCUCAACUUGAGAACGUACAAUGAUACUGCUAAUCUUGAGUGCGGAAGAGAAAGACGGAAUUCCUGGUGUAGCGGUGAAAUGCGUAGAUAUCAGGAAGAACACCGGUGGCGAAGGCGGUCUUUUGGUCCGUUACUGACGCUCAUGCUCGAAAGCGUGGGGAGCAAACAGGAUUAGAUACCCUGGUAGUCCACGCCCUAAACCAUGGAUACUCGAUGUCGGCCCGCAAGGGUCGGUGUCUAAGCUAACGCAUUAAGUAUCCCACCUGGGGAGUACGAUCGCAAGGUUGAAACUCAAAGGAAUUGACGG
RNAcentral lists this ribosomal RNA (595 nucleotides) under uncultured delta proteobacterium. RNAcentral's name for it is "bacterial SSU rRNA". It matches the Rfam family "Bacterial small subunit ribosomal RNA", at positions 320 to 916 of the family's 1533-position model. The record is from RNAcentral. Lineage: Bacteria; Deltaproteobacteria.